Molecule: non-coding RNA, 217 nt
Organism: Pelobates cultripes (western spadefoot toad)
Lineage: Eukaryota; Metazoa; Chordata; Amphibia; Anura; Pelobatidae
Source: the annotation of a GenBank genome assembly
GCCUGAUUUGCCAUGGGAGGGCUGCCUGGGCUGUCAGGCAGUCUUCCUAAAGAGGAUCGCGGCAGAGGUAAGUAAAUUUCACCUCCUGGGGCUACAAGCCGUUACAGCGUUCUAUGCUGCCGCAAUGGCUGUAAAGCCCAUUUAAAUAGGGUUGGCAUAGAACGCCGUAACGGCGUUAAGGGGUUAAUAAGUGUCCAGAGACAAAGUAAAAAAUAAA